Clupea harengus (Atlantic herring) is the source of this 614-nucleotide long non-coding RNA. RefSeq lists it as uncharacterized. NCBI's taxonomy places the organism in Eukaryota, Metazoa, Chordata, Actinopteri, Clupeiformes, Clupeidae. The record is from RefSeq and is a predicted model, not a curated record. The transcript has 2 exons.
AGGAUAUUUGGUGAUACUUGGUUAAUAUUGCUGGUAAGUGGGACAUUUGUCUUAAAAUACUUUAAUAACCAUGCAAUUGUAUAUAUCAUUGAUUUAUAUGAAUGGAUGAGUUCGUUUGGGAAGGAAUGUUUGUGGAUUCUGGCAGCAUGUGGAUUAGCCCAGUCGCUCUGUCAUUUGGGGAUGUAGCUAAAUUUAAGUUUACAUUUGUGAAAUACAAUUCCGUUUUGGCUAUAGAGUGAAGAGUAUGAGGUGAUGUAGUUAGUGUAGAUGUAUUUUGUAGGAAAUUAAGUUGCAUACAGGCUGUAUUAAAGUGAAUUGUCAUGUUUCACCUAGCAGACAUAUAGCCAUACUGGUAUCCUGGGAGCACACGUGUGUGGAGGAUAGAGAUGUGUGCGUGUUAGGAACAUUAUCACCACUACCGUUUUGUAUUGCUGAACCUUACUUUCAUUUAUUUUCUUAUACGGCUAGUUCAGCUACAGAGUUGGGAUAGGCUUAGCUUGUGUACAGGUUAGUUUAUCAUAUAAGAUUUCUAUUUGAUGUCAUUUUAUUUUUGUACUUUUCUAUACAAAUCUUUUGUUUUAUAUAUCUAUCAGAUAAAGAACCCUUACUCUUAA